Molecule: ribosomal RNA, 252 nt
Filed under: uncultured bacterium
Lineage: Bacteria
Description: partial 16S ribosomal RNA
Rfam family: Bacterial small subunit ribosomal RNA
Source: RNAcentral
UACGAAGGGGGCUAGCGUUGCUCGGAAUCAUUGGGCGUAAAGAGCGCGUAGGCGGCCCGAUAAGUCCGCUGUGAAAGUCAAGGGCUCAACCCUUGAAUGCCGGUGGAUACUGUCGGGCUAGAGUCCGGAAGAGGCGAGUGGAAUUCCUGGUGUAGCGGUGAAAUGCGUAGAGAUCCGGAGGAAUACCAGUGGCGAAGGCGGCACGCUGGGCCAUAACUGACGCUAAGACUCGAAAGCAUGGUAGCGAACGGG